GAGACGGGGUUUCGCCAUGUUGGCAGGUUGGUCUUGAACUUCUGACCUCCACCAACCUCGGCCUCCCAAAAUGCUGGGAUUACAGGUGUGAGCCACCGCACCUGACCCUGUUUGCUUUUCUAUCUGUGGCUUUUCUCUUUUCAAAUCUCUGAUUACAGUUAGACUCACCAGCUACAUAUGUCAAAGUAGUGUCUCUCAAUGGACACAGUGUACAAUAACCCUGCGAAAAAUUACUAACAUGCAGAUUCCCAGGCACCAAGCCCCAGUCAAGAUCUCCAUCCAGUAGGUGAGGUGUGGGGUACAGGAAUCUGCAUUUUUAACAAGAAUCCUGGUAAAUCUGAUGCAAGAAGUUGGCUCCUGGACUUUACUUGCACUACUGUUUCAAUAAAAUACUGGCAAACAAAAAAAUUAGUGAGAUAAACAACUGGGAUUCUCGAGCACUGGACAGAGAUCUGAGGAAAGGCCAGAGGACGAUUCCUAGCUGCUUCAGGCUUUUGCAAAAUGUAAGAAUUCUCAAGGAAGAAAUAUGAAUUUUGCUAAUACCUGAGAGAUGCCUAAAUGAGCUCUUACUCUGCUCCAAGUUAUAGUCAGAGAUUCACAUUCUUGAUCAGAAUGGUGUAAUUUAAGUAGAUGAUCAUUUUAGAUUUGCUGGCUUUGCAACAUGAAUUUUGUUUCUCUCAAAACUGAAUAUUUUUAUUUCAUUUACCUCCUGGGCAACAUUCCUAAUUAAAAAAAAAGUCAACCUUGUCUAAAAUCGCUUUUUCUUAGAAAAGUAUAAUUAAAUCAUUAUGGACAUAAGGUAUUUCAUGGUUUAUUAAUUAAAAAAUAUGCAAAGUCAACUUCUAAUAGUAGAAUCGACAAGGUCUCAGGUCAGUAACAUUUCCCCAUUAAUAUGACUGGUAACUGUCUGAAUAUUAAUGUGUUCACAAGUAACUGUCCAAUUUGGCCUCAUUUAUAUAUUUGUUUUUAUUGAACGUAAUUCUUAUGCAUGGGUGAGUCCCAGGGACGGGGAGAUUAGGGGAAGAUACAGGUCAGGACCACGGCCUGAGAAACCGUGAGAGGCAAAUUGCUCAUCCUGGACAACCAUUUUCCAUUUCUGUGCCUGACCCUGACUCUGAACCUUAGUACCCAGUCUCCUGAUUCCUAUCACUGAGGUGGCUGCUGCUAGGUUCAUCCUCCUAGAACCCAUCUGGCCCAUAGCUUAUCGCUUGGGGCUGGACUCAUUUGGGAACUGUGGGAGUGAACAUGGAAAUUCAUGCUGAAAUGCAUAUUGUACAGACCCUGUUGCUGUCUGAUUUUAGGGAGCAGUGGUGAGGAAGCUAGGGUUGUUGUGGGGUGGGGGAGUACAAGUCUAGGGCUUGGUACCUGCUGGGAUUCAUAGUAAAUAAAUUCUGGGAAACAGCAUAGAAAGGGGAAAGGCAGGUGACCUGAGCUCCUGUGGGACUCCAAUUGAGGGGUGGCUGCAGACGCCCCAUUGGUCACUCUGCCCUAAAUCCCAGAGGACACCUAUCUGAGACACCUUCUGGCACUGUAAGCUCACAGCAUACCCAGCUAAUCCCAGGUAUGUCUGCACACCUCUGAAUGCUUUUCAAGGUGCUUUCUCAGACAGAAGAGAAGACCUGGGUGGUGGAGUGUCUGGAAGUCAGGGUUUUAGGUCCAGUUCUCCUGCUGCUCUCUAUGUCAGACUGAGAAAGUAUCUCCUGGGCCUCAGUUUCCUCAUCUACAAAGUUCAGGGUAGAUUAUGUAAUCCCUAGGGUUCUGACCGUCAUGAGAAGUCCCUGGCAAUCUCAUUCAAUGGUCACCAUAACCAAGAGAGAGAGAAGAGCAAUAUCACUAACCCGAGGUUACAGUUCAGGAAAGGGGAAGGAGACGGUGGAUUCCUGUCAAAGAGGCCAAGAUAGUCCACCAACCAUGUGGACGAGCAGAAGCCCCUGUGCAUCACACAACUGCAGCAACAUCUGGGAAGGGCUUCGUCCUGACCCCGUCUUAGGAGACUGGGGUAUCUGGUAGUUUUCUUCUUGAUCAGUAUGAAAUUACAGGUGGCUUUUAGCACAAAUAUGUCAGUCAGGUAGGUCUGAAGAACCUCAAACUUUAGGGUGCAUAAGAAUCACUGGGAGACCUUGUGAAAAGUUUUCUGGGUCUAUCCUUAGGUUCUGAUUUAGGAGGUCUGGAGAGCCCUAGAAAUGAGCACUUUAAGCCAGGAGCGGUGGCACAUGCCUGUAAUCUCAGCACUUCCAAGGCUGACACAGGAGGAUUGCUUGAAGCCAACCUGGGAAACAGAGAGACCUCAUCUCUACAAAAUACUGAAAAAUCAGCCAGGUGUGGUGGCACAUGCCUGUAGACCUGGCUACUUCAGUGGCUGAGGUGGGAGGAUCGCUUGAGCUCAGGAGCUUAAGGUUAUAGUGAGCUGUGAUCACACCACUGCAGUCUAGCCUGGGCAGCAUGUCUCAAAAUCUAUCUAUCUAUCUGUCUGUCUGUCUGUCUAUCUGUCUGUCUGUCUAUCUCUCUGUCUGUCUGUCUAUCUAUCUAUCUAUCUAUCUAUCUAUCUAUCUAUCUAUCAGCAGUUUAAAACAGUUUCUCCUGGGUGGCUCUGACACAGGAUACCCCAGGGUUGGGGCUUCUCUCGGGGCAGUGAGUGGGGAAAGAGGAUGUGACCAUCAGAGACAGUGAGAAGUGGCAGCCGGACGGCCAACAGGCGAGGGCAGGCACAGAGCCCUGCAGAGAUGCGUUAGGGUGUAGCCUUGGGUGGCAACUUUGCUCACACCGUCCCCUUCCUAUUUCUUGCCCAGGGCCUGCCCCUGCUUCCAGAAUCUAAAGAAGGAUUUCGGAGAAGUGGAAAGAAGAGCUUGGCUCACUCUGCCAGAGUGGGGAUCAGGCCUGACUAGCAUCUUACUAACACCAAGUUCCGAAGCAGCCCCAUCCAGGCUGAUUCGGCUCAUGGGAGAGUAAUUGCCCUUCCUGGGAAGACUGCUGACUUCUCCAUGUUCAGCAGUUGAAGAGAUGAUAGGAACAGCCAACUCUUAGGGAGGGCUUGCUAUGAUCCAGGCACUCUUCCAAGUGCUUCACACACGUUAACCCAUUUAAUUCUCACAACAACCCUAGGAGGAAGGUACUAAUGUUACCUUUUGGAAAACAGAGGCACAGAGAAGUUAAGUAACCUCCCCAAGGUCACACAGCUAGUAUGUGAUAGAGACAGCUAUGAACCCAGCAGCAUGGGUCUCAAGCCCUUCUCUGCUGCCUCUCUAGAAGACGGAUGAUUUUCCAAGAGGAAAAAUAUUCCCCAAUCUCUGGAGGCAUUUCCUUUUGUCAUCAUUUCAGAGUGAGCGGGCUGGGUAAGCAUCAAGUGGUAACAGGAUCCCCCAUUCCCUGGAUGUGUCUGUUUCUCUGGCUUUCCAGGGCCUGCACCCUUUUCUUCUGAGCUUUACAAUAAAUGGUGUGCUAGGGAUCCUGGGGCAGCGGCUUCGCCAGCCAGAUGUUAGUUGACCCCUGCGUUCACGGUGUCCUUUCACGGCUCUGCACUGGCAUUGGGUGUCUGUGGCUGCAGGGCUAAUGUGCUUCCUGGCUGGAGCCUUGGAGAAAGGGAGUUUCCCUUCCCAAGGACCCAGUGAUCCUUUUGCAGCUCAAAGCUCCAGCUGGGGCUGGGCAUGGUGGUUCAUGCCUGUAAUCCAAGCACUUUGGGAGGCCAAGGCGGGCAGAUGGCUUGAGGUCAGGAGUUUGAGACCAGCCUGGCCAACAUGGUAAAACCCCAUCUCUACUUAAAAACAACAACAAAAAAAUUAGCUGGGCAUGGUGGUGUGUGCCUAUAGCCCCAGCUAAUUGGGAAGCUGAGACAUGAGAAUCGCUUGAACCCAGGAGGCGGAGGUUGUAGUGAGAUCAGAUCCUGCCACUGCGACAGAGGAAGAAGCAGUCACAAAAAAAAAAAAAAAAAAAAAAAAGCUCCAGCCUCUCUGUCUUUGCAUGGUCAAUGCCACUGCAUCCAGCUGCCACUGGUGUGUACUUUGUGAUCCUGGCCUUGCCUGGCUGGUCUGAGACUUCCACCACUGCUCCCUAUUCACAAACGUUGCUAAUCAAGCCCUCAGAAUCCCUCUUAACACAGCCCUCCAAGCAACCACUAUUGACUGGCACGGACUUGGGAAGGGGAUGACAGGGACAGAGGUUUGGGCCGGAGUCAACGACCUGGCACUGCUCUGACUCUGAAACAGAAUCUCCCAGGUAUCUCUCUGAUACCCGACUACGUCAUGUUAUCUACGUCUCAUACCUGACUACGUCAUAGGAGCUAAAUCUUGUUCCCAUAACCUUUAGCAGGAAGCAUUUUCUCAGACCAGUUGGAAAGGUUGGUUUAGGUUUUAUGUUUUUCCUAAGGACCUUUCUUGAUUUUUCUUUUUUCUGAGAUGGAGUUUUGCUCUUGUUGCCCAGGCUGGAGUGCAGUGGCACAAUCUCGGCUCACUGCAACCUCUGCCUCCCGGGUUCAAGCGAUUAUCCAGCCUCAGCCUCCCAAGUAGCUGGGAUUACAGGCGCCUGCUACCACACCCGGCUAAUUUUUGUAUUUUUAGUAGAGAGGGGUUUCACCAUGUUGGUCAGGCUGGUCUCAAACUCCUGACCUCAGGUGAUCCACCUGCCUCGGCUUCCCAAAGUGCUAGGAUUACAGGUGCGAGCCACUGCACCUGGCCCCCUGAGGACCUUUCUGAGUUACUUGGUGCUCUGCAACCUGGUCGGGACAUCUUGGGUGGAGAGGUUCCAGGAAUCUGCCUGUAUCAGGAAAGAAACUAAAAAUGCAAAGCAAAGUGGAAGGGAAGGCACUCCUGUACCCUGGAUUAGGCAGUGAAACACACAUGGGCUCUGGAAUCCGGAGACCCUGUUCUGAUUCUUCUCUUCCUGAUUCUUCUGCUGGCAGCCAAGAACAGUAAAUGGGCUUCAUCUGACAAGUCAACCCCAGUCCAUAGUGGUGACCGAGAGUGCUAUGUGAAGAAGGAUCCUGAGGGCCGAUAAGAAGUCAAUGGGAAACAGUACUCUGACUGAUAAGUAAUGCCUGCCAUGGGUCUGGAAGCAGAGGGCGAGGUAUGAGUAAGUGCCACCCCUGCAUUGGCUCCUCACGGGCCUCUGUCUGCUCCUCUGUAAAAUGAGCCUGUAACAUACUCAGCACAUAGGGCGCGGUGAGGUGUUCAUGAGAUACACAUACAAAUGCUCAGUGGAUGCUGGUCUCCUUUGUCUUCUCCCUCUUUCCUUCCCCCAAAUCCUGGCAGCUUUCAAAGCCACACUCAAGCUGCUUCCUGUUCAUGAUAGCCUUCCCUGAAAAUGCUAACCCAGGGUAUCUGCUCCUUCCUGCCUCCCCUCCCACCUGCCAGUUCGCCUGGCCUGGCCUGGAUUGGUAGGGAAGAGCCCAAACUUUGGAGUCAGGGUGGCCUGAGUUCAAGACCUGGCUCUGUCACUUACAUCGGCUGUGGGACAUUGGGCUAGCUGCAUCGUUGCAUCAUCUCUCUGAGCCUCAGUUUCCUUCUUUGUAGCUGAGGGUAAUGAUAGUAUACUUCUAACAGUGCUGGAUAAUUAGAUGAGAUUGUGCAUGGAUAGCUCCUAGUAUGGUGGCUAGUAUACAGUAAAUACUUAACAAAUAUCCACAAUUAGGCUUAUUGUUAUCAGCAUUUGAAGGCUUAAGAAUUGCUCAGACUUUCAUUCUGGUUGCAAAGGAUGAGAGAUAGCAAAAUUCGGUCCCAUUCCCAAAAUAUAAUCAGUCUUGAUCAUUCGGUAAUUAAAAAAAAGUUGGUCAAUUCCCAGCUAUGAGUGAGAACAUGCGGUGUUUGGUUUUCUGUCCUUGCGAUAAUUUGCUCAGAAUGAUGGUUUCCAGCUUCAUCCAUGUCCCUACAAAGGAUAUGAACUCAUCCUUUUUUAUGGCUGCAUUGAACAAUAAGAACACUUGGACACAGGAUGGGGAACAUCACACACUGGGGCCUGUGGUGGGGUGGGGGCCUGGGGGAGGGAUAGCAUUAGGAGAAUACCUAAUGUAAAUGAUGAGUUAAUGGGUGCAGCACGCCAACAUGGCACAUGUAUACAUAUGUAACAAACCUGCACGUUGUGCACAUGUACCCUAGAACUUAAAGUACAAUAAUAAUAAUAAUAAUAAUAAUAAUAAUAAUAAUAAUAAUAAAAAUGUUGGGAAGGUGAGUGGGAAGGGGGAGUUGUCCAAUCUCAGAAAUGGGACUUGCCCUGGACGCCCAGAUGAAGAGCAGACAGAGGGGUUCUUUACAGCCAUGUGGUUUUAUGAGCCAGCAUUAAUCACUGCCUGACGAUGGCUUCCCCUGAUUAGUCUGGGGUCAAUGUGUUUGGGGUUUUCACCAGCCGGUCCCUGAAGCCCGCAGCCAGCUCUUUCAUGAGCUGCUUGCUUUAGUUUCCACUGACAUCCUGGAGACGUGCUUGAUAGCUUACCCAGACCUGGGGCUGGAGGGAGACCUGAGCUCUGAACUACCGGGCAUGUCCUGGCUCUGCUGUUGUUCUGUGGCCACACUCUGUGGCCCGGGACAAGCCCCUGUCUAGUACUAAAAACUUUUGAAAGCCAAUUAACCAUUCUGUGUUUCCUUACAUGUAAAACAACUCGGCCUUACAGGGUGAUCGAGUCCAUGGAUGCUGAAGUGUUCUUUUAAAAUGUGCUCUUCUUUAUCAAAAAGUACAGAUUAAGAAAAAAAUCUUAGUCUCUUUUCAUUUUAUCUGGAAGGGAUUUUCCCCCCUAAGGCAACAGCUUAGAACUGUGCCUCUGAAACUCUCUAUGGCGAAGGAUCAAGGUUUGUUUGUUUUUUACUUAUUGCAGAGUGAUUUGUGGUCUCUCUCAUGUGAUUAGAAUGUAGCGCAUACCCCAUGAGAUUUCAGUGUGAGUCUUACCACAGUGGAAUUCUGUUCUGAUAUGAGUUCUCAUCCCAUCACACAGUUGCAUGUCAAAUUGCUGUAACAUUUUCCCAACAUAUAUUCUCAAUUUCUCAACUUUUUUCAUUGGGUCCAGGUCACAAAGACUGUGCGGAAGAGCUCCAGUCCACAGCCCACACUUAGAGCAUCUCUGGCCUAAAAGGUGACAUUGCACUAACACUCGUCACACCUGUCCUGCACCCUGCACCGUCCUGGGUGCAGGGAUGUUACGGUUUACAGGACAGGCAGGGUGUCUGCCCUCAUAUCUAGGCACAGAAAAAAGAUAAUCUGUUUGCAAUAAAAGUUGUUAAAGAAACGAAAAGAAAUAAAAAAUGUGAUAGGAUGGCAGGUGACAUCUAUUGUAAACUGAAUAUCUGGAGAAGGACUAUUUGGGAAGAGCAAGGAAAGAACCUUUCAGAAAAGGAGCAGGACGUGCGAAGGCCCCAAGGAGGGCAGGAGCUUGGUGUGUUCUAGCACUGGAAGGAGGAAGUCAGAGUGUCUUAAGGUGUUGAGAUGUUGGGAGUGAGAGCACAGUGAUGGGAGCCAUGGAGGAGCCUGAAGGAUAGGGCCAUGAAGGGCUCCAAAGGCACUCCUUUUCUUCCAGCAGAUAUUCAAUUAAAUGCCAUGCUUGCAUUUUUAAAAUUGUUGAACCUUCUACAAAUUGUAUUAACAUAUAGAAAUCAUCCAGCCUCUUGUUACUCCACAUGUAAGGUUCUGGGGACCAGUAGCAUCAACAUCACCUGGGAGUAUGUCAGGCGUGCGGUAUCUCAGGAUGGCCCUGAACUUGCUGGAUGCAUUCUGAUGAGCUCCCCAGGUGAUAUCUACCCAUGUUGAGAUUGUAGGAGCCCUGAUCUGGUGCAUUGGAUCUUGAAGGUGGCUGCACGGGGAGUCAUUUAAAUGGUCACAUCUGAUGAUUUGGAUUUUGUAGUCUGGAGCUUCUGACUCAAUGGUCUGGGAUGAGACCUGGGUAUGGAGACCUUCUGCAGGUCCCGGGGAUUCCAGCGAGCAGCUAGGGUGUAACCUUGUGUGAGUCACUUGCUCUCUCUGGACCUGUGUCCUUUCUGCCCUCCUCAGGGUUUCUCUGAUCAUUUACUUGAGAUUUCUCUGGUUGCUUUUGUUCAAGGUUAUAUAAAACCAGUUUGGCUCUCCCUCCUAAGACCAAUAGGUUUCAGCAUUUAGGCAGAAGAGAGAAAUGUUUCUCUGCUCUCCUACAGGUUUGCAAAGGGCAUAUCCCAGGCUACUUCAAGGGAAAAUGAAUAUCUUGCAGAUGGAGAUAAGCACUCAGAAUUUUGAGUGAUAAACUAUCUCCUGUUCAGAAGUGAGGAGCCCAAAUGGAACAAUAAAUGCCCCUGUACUAGAGCUGCAAGGCCUCUUGGGGUCCAUAUGAACACCUCUACCCAUUUCAUGGAUAAGGAAAACCGAGGCCCAGAUAGUCUUCAUUUCUCAACAUCACAUGAUAUAAGGGCAGGGCUAAAACCACAGCCACUCCUGUCAUUUUUGUGACCUUGAGCUCUUGCCACCCCAUGUUUGAAAUUCAGAAACACUUGACAUGGCUAGUAUUUAUGAGGAUAGGAAAACAACUGCUUGGUUGGGGAAGCUCUC
This 8493-nucleotide long non-coding RNA is filed under the name Homo sapiens (human). RNAcentral's name for it is "HSALNT0310228". Lineage: Eukaryota; Metazoa; Chordata; Mammalia; Primates; Hominidae. The record is from RNAcentral.